Molecule: non-coding RNA, 1383 nt
Organism: Misgurnus anguillicaudatus (oriental weatherfish)
Lineage: Eukaryota; Metazoa; Chordata; Actinopteri; Cypriniformes; Cobitidae
Source: RefSeq, a predicted model, not a curated record
AAUAAAUACAAAACAAUCAAUUAAUGAAUGAAUAUAAAAACAUUGCAUAUAUGACAAUAAUAGAAACAAUCCAAUUGACAAACAUGUUUGGGCCUACAUCAGGAAUAGGAAAACUACAAAUAAACUCCACUUCAUUCUUGAAGUUCAGUUGAGUUUUAUAUUUACAAAGUAGAGCUUUGAGUUAUUGAAAAAAAAAUGCACACUGCUGCUCACUGUCCAUGUAGACAGGCACACGUGGCUUUAGGGGGAACCACUUUGAUGGUAGUGAAAAUCCCUGCAGCAUUUGUGACAUUUUGGAAUUUCUGGAAGUGAAUUCCCCCUUUGAAUUGUUAUAUCCAUCUUUAAAUUAGAGAGAGAGUUCAAACUCAUAUUUUAAGACCACCCCACAGAGUCCAUACAAGGAACCCAAACACACAGACAAAUCAGAGCCAGAUAGUUACGUCAACUCCGUUCACUCCAAUGGAACAGUUUUUUUUACAGCAAUGGCGGAUCCUGGAGCAGCUCAAAACAAGUUCCCGGAAGUUACUGAAGUUAAAUUACAGCAGAACAGACCGACAAUGAUGAGUUUUUUAAGUGCAUGAUGGAAGCCUGCUGGAGAGUGACUGAGCUUCUUUCUCCAAGACAUCGACUGCGUUGGGGAGCUCCAUGAGGGAGGAACCAGUCUUGGUCCUAAAUAGUUGUUCAGUUUGUUGUAUGAAGUCAUAGGCUUCCUGGGACGGAUGACAAAGAGCAUCUGCCUUAAACUCUUUUAAGUUUAAUAAAUGCUGUUUUCUCCAGCAGGACUGUCAUCAUUGUGUUGUGUUGCAGUUUUGCAUUUUUCACAGAUGCUGGCAAACUUGAUGAUUCUGUUGACAAUGUAUCCUGCAAGAUGGAAGAGGAUACAUUUGUCAGUUUUUGUGAGGAAAUCUGCCAAAAAACUGCUGUCAUCUUCCUGGUAGCUCCCAGAUUGGACGUUGGUGAGGAACUGUCCCACAGAAAUGAUUCUCAGUGCAUGAUGGAAUUCCACUGGAGUAGGUACAGGAUUUUUAGACCUUACACAGCUGAAUGUAUUUUCAAGGCAGUCUUGUGUAAAUCUUGACAUCUACCCCAAUUUUGUGGCCUUGUGUUAACAUCUGUGGAAAAGAGAAUACAAUUGAGUAUGAUUACCUCACAGAUUUUUUGUGGUUGUAAUGUUGAGUUACAUUUAGGUUGCUCCUCCUGAUCUGAGCCAAUCAUUUUUUCCUCCUCUCAGUAUCAGUGGGGAAACCAUACAUAACUACUCCUUUUUCAGAACGGUUGGAGCAUCCCCAUGCAGUACAGCAAAUCAUUGUGAAGACUAGAAGGACAACACAAAGAAAAGGACACAGACAAAAUGUUUUAAAUGCAAAUGUUUAUUGAAAUUUA